RNAcentral lists this long non-coding RNA (228 nucleotides) under Hordeum vulgare. Its description in RNAcentral is "long non-coding RNA (HVUL_LNC008056)". The record is from RNAcentral. Lineage: Eukaryota; Viridiplantae; Streptophyta; Magnoliopsida; Poales; Poaceae.
ACCCUGUUGUAAUACUUUGUAUUGCUUUUGAUCUGGUCAGGUGCAAAGAUUACACGAAGGUACAAGUAUAUAUAUACUAUUAAGCCGGACUUAACCCAAACUGAAUAGGAAUUGAUAUCCUACAUGGAUACCCAUACACACACGGACACAGGGUUAAUUCGCAAAUUCGGCACUUUCUUCUACGUCCCAUAUGAUUGUCUGAAAUGAUGGGCUUCCUUAUGCCUCCCN